RNAcentral lists this ribosomal RNA (529 nucleotides) under uncultured bacterium. RNAcentral's name for it is "bacterial SSU rRNA". It matches the Rfam family "Bacterial small subunit ribosomal RNA", at positions 8 to 521 of the family's 1533-position model. The record is from RNAcentral.
AGAGUUUGAUCCUGGCUCAGGAUGAACGCUGGCGGCGUGCCUAAUACAUGCAAGUAGAACGCUGAAAGAAGAGCUUGCUCUUCUGGAAGAGUUGCGAACGGGUGAGUAACGCGUAGGUAACCUGCCUGAUAGCGGGGGAUAACUAUUGGAAACGAUAGCUAAUACCGCAUAACAGUGCUUGUUGCAUGACAAGGAUUUGAAAGGGGCAAUUGCCUCACUAUCAGAUGGACCUGCGUUGUAUUAGCUAGUUGGUGGGGUAACGGCUCACCAAGGCGACGAUACAUAGCCGACCUGAGAGGGUGAUCGGCCACACUGGGACUGAGACACGGCCCAGACUCCUACGGGAGGCAGCAGUAGGGAAUCUUCGGCAAUGGGGGCAACCCUGACCGAGCAACGCCGCGUGAGUGAAGAAGGUUUUCGGAUCGUAAAGCUCUGUUGUAAGAGAAGAACGGGAGUGGGAGUGGAAAGUCCACUUCGUGACGGUAUCUUACCAGAAAGGGACGGCUAACUACGUGCCAGCAGCCGCGGU